AGUGAACGCUGGCGGCAGGCCUAACACAUGCAAGUCGAACGGCAGCACAAGAGAGCUUGCUCUCUGGGUGGCGAGUGGCGGACGGGUGAGGAAUGCAUCGGAAUCUGCCCAUUUGUGGGGGAUAACCUCGGGAAACCGGGACUAAUACCGCAUACGACCUACGGGUGAAAGCAGGGGAUCUUCGGACCUUGCGCAGAUGGAUGAGCCGAUGCCGGAUUAGCUAGUUGGAGGGGUAAAGGCCCACCAAGGCGACGAUCCGUAGCUGGUCUGAGAGGGUGAUCGGCCACACUGGGACUGAGACACGGCCCAGACUCCUACGGGAGGCAGCAGUGGGGAUUAUUGGACAAUGGGCGCAAGCCUGAUCCAGCCAUGCCGCGUGUGUGAAGAAGGCCUUCGGGUUGUAAAGCACUUUUGUUGGGAAAGAAAAGCAGCCGGUUAAUACCCGGUUGUCAUGACGGUACCCAAAGAAUAAGCACCGGCUAACUUCGUG
Molecule: ribosomal RNA, 490 nt
Filed under: uncultured bacterium
Lineage: Bacteria
Description: partial 16S ribosomal RNA
Rfam family: Bacterial small subunit ribosomal RNA
Source: RNAcentral